This 71-nucleotide transfer RNA is filed under the name Camelus ferus (Wild Bactrian camel). It matches the Rfam family "tRNA". Rfam says of the family: Transfer RNA (tRNA) molecules are approximately 80 nucleotides in length. Their secondary structure includes four short double-helical elements and three loops (D, anti-codon, and T loops). The record is from Rfam by way of RNAcentral. Lineage: Eukaryota; Metazoa; Chordata; Mammalia; Artiodactyla; Camelidae.
GAGGGUAUAGCUCAGUGGUAGAGUGCCUGCUUAGCAUGCACAAGGUCCUGGGUUCAAUCCCCACUACCUCG